Molecule: ribosomal RNA, 498 nt
Filed under: uncultured bacterium
Lineage: Bacteria
Description: partial 16S ribosomal RNA
Rfam family: Bacterial small subunit ribosomal RNA
Source: RNAcentral
GACGAACGCUGGCGGCGUGCCUAAUACAUGCAAGUCGAGCGGACGAAUCGAAAGCUUGCUUUUGAUUCGUUAGCGGCGGACGGGUGAGUAACACGUGGGCAACCUGCCCUGUAGACGGGGAUAACACCGAGAAAUCGGUGCUAAUACCGGAUAACACGAAAUGUCGCAUGACGUUUCGUUGAAAGACGGCGCAAGCUGUCGCUACAGGAUGGGCCUGCGGCGCAUUAGCUAGUUGGUGAGGUAACGGCUCACCAAGGCGACGAUGCGUAGCCGACCUGAGAGGGUGAUCGGCCACACUGGGACUGAGACACGGCCCAGACUCCUACGGGAGGCAGCAGUAGGGAAUCUUCCGCAAUGGACGAAAGUCUGACGGAGCAACGCCGCGUGAGCGAAGAAGGCCUUCGGGUCGUAAAGCUCUGUUGUUAGGGAAGAACAAGUAACGCAGUAACUGGCGUUACCGUGACGGUACCUAACGAGAAAGCCACGGCUAACUACGUG